UGGGGAAUUGUUCGCAAUGGGCGCAAGCCUGACGACGCAACGCCGCGUGGAGGAUGACGGCUUUCGGGUCGUAAACUCCUGUCGUGCGGGACGAAUGGCCUUGUGGUGAAUAACCAUGGGGUUUGACGGUACCGCGAAAGGAAGCCCCGGCUAACUCCGUGCCAGCAGCCGCGGUAAUACGGGGGGGGCAAGCGUUGUUCGGAAUUACUGGGCGUAAAGGGCUCGUAGGCGGCUCGUUAAGUCAGACGUGAAAGCCCUCGGCUUAACCGGGGAACGGCGUCUGAGACUGGCAAGCUUGAAUCCGGGAGAGGGAUGCGGAAUUCCAGGUGUAGCGGUGAAAUGCGUAGAUAUCUGGAGGAACACCGGUGGCGAAGGCGGCAUCCUGGACCGGUAUUGACGCUGAGGAGCGAAAGCCAGGGGAGCAAACGG
This 429-nucleotide ribosomal RNA is filed under the name uncultured bacterium. RNAcentral's name for it is "bacterial SSU rRNA". It matches the Rfam family "Bacterial small subunit ribosomal RNA", at positions 355 to 775 of the family's 1533-position model. The record is from RNAcentral.